UCCUACGGGAGGCAGCAGCAGGGAAUCUUCCGCAAUGGACGAAAGUCUGACGGAGCAACGCCGCGUGAGCGAUGAAGGCCUUCGGGUCGUAAAGCUCUGUUGUUAGGGAAGAACAAGUAUCGGAGUAACUGCCGGUACCUUGACGGUACCUAACCAGAAAGCCACGGCUAACUACGUGCCAGCAGCC
RNAcentral lists this ribosomal RNA (187 nucleotides) under uncultured Bacillus sp. RNAcentral describes it as "partial 16S ribosomal RNA". It matches the Rfam family "Bacterial small subunit ribosomal RNA", at positions 337 to 516 of the family's 1533-position model. The record is from RNAcentral. Lineage: Bacteria; Bacillati; Bacillota; Bacilli; Caryophanales; Bacillaceae.